AAACAUUUUAAGUCAGAAUGUUAAUGUGUUGGUUUCCAGUGAGAAUCAGCUUUCAGAUGGUCAGUAAUUUGCUUCAGUGACCCAGGAAAAUAUAUGGGGAAGCUGACUGCUGCCAUCUGUACUCUUCAGAUUGAGGACAGGACAAAAGAG
This 150-nucleotide long non-coding RNA is filed under the name Fukomys damarensis (Damara mole-rat). RNAcentral's name for it is "lncRNA (ENSFDAG00000027379.1)". Lineage: Eukaryota; Metazoa; Chordata; Mammalia; Rodentia; Bathyergidae. The record is from RNAcentral.